ACCACAUGUAUUCAGGGUUUCUUUACAGUUUUUGCCCGUUGCUUGAACACUAUAAACCCAUGCUCAGACUAAAGUAACACAACGUGAAGCUUUUGUUACCAUACCUCAAACACAUGUACCCAUACCUUAAACAAAAGCGCUGCUUUGCACCCCAGUACCAAUUAUGCAACACUCCUACUCCUUUAUGCAACACACCUACCCCUUUAUGCAACACACAUGGUCCUGCAUGCUACACUCUAUUUCAUACAUAAGACACUUCGCUCACAAAAUGAAAUCUCAGGGUGCCAUUCGGAAAACACAUGUAUCCAAAAUACAAAACACAUCGGGUAAUUGCAACCACUCAAAUACACACCUGAAGGCACGUACUUGCAAAACUGAACACCAAUUAGCCAACUACAAAAAGCCCUCAGCGUAGCCAUUUCAAGAACUUUGCAAGCAUGGAUGGAGGGAGAGCAAGAGGAAGAGGAAGAGGAGGAGAAGGCCGAAGAGGCCAUGAACGGACCCAUAUUUCUGAUGAAAUAAGAGCAACUUUGGUGGACCAUGUCAUCAACCAUGGCCUGACUAUGAGGGAAGCUGGGCAGAGAGUCCACCCACAUCUAAGCCGCUUCACAGUGGCAUCUGUAAUACGAACAUUCCGACUAGAAAACAGAAUGACCCGAAGACCUUCUGGGGGAGGACGGCAACGCCUGUUCACACAACAGCAGGAACUUGCCGUUGUGGACCUAGUGAGGGCAGACAAUGCCAUCCGUCACCAGGUUUGUGGUGAUAUGGGAUCAUGUCAGUUUCCAUCGGGCUGCUCUGGUCUAGGCCUGGUUCUCCAACCACAAUCAAUUUGAAGUGGUAUACUUGCCCCCUUACUCACCAUUUUUAAACCCUAUUGAGGAUUUUUUUAGGCUUGGAGAUGACGUGUAUAUGACCGCCAACCACAUGCCCGC
This is a long non-coding RNA of Astatotilapia calliptera (eastern happy), 935 nucleotides long. Lineage: Eukaryota; Metazoa; Chordata; Actinopteri; Cichliformes; Cichlidae. The record is from Ensembl.